GACGAACGCUGGCGGCGUGCCUAACACAUGCAAGUGGAGCGACGAACCAGGGCUUGCCCUGGAGCAAAGCCGCGAACGGGUGAGUAACACGUGAGUAACCUGCCCCGAAGAUUGGGACAACCCGAGGAAACUCGGGCUAAUACCGAAUGCACCCCCUGGGCCCAAGCCCAGUGGGAAAAGGAAGCUUCGGCCUCCGCUUCGGGAGGGGCUCGCGGCCCAUUAGCUAGUUGGUGAGGUAACGGCUCACAAAGGCAACGAUGGGUAGCUGGUCUGAGAGGACGAUCAGCCACACUGGGACUGAGACACGGCCCAGACUCCUACGGGAGGCAGCAGUGGGGAAUCUUGCGCAAUGCGCGAAAGCGUGACGCAGCAACGCCGCGUGGGGGAAGAAGGCCUCCGGGUUGUAAACCCCUUUCAGGAGGGACGAAGGUGCGACGGUGAACAGCCGCUCGCACUGACGGUACCUCCAGAAGAAGCCCCGGCUAACUACGUGCCAGCCGCCGCAGUAA
RNAcentral lists this ribosomal RNA (509 nucleotides) under uncultured bacterium. Its description in RNAcentral is "partial 16S ribosomal RNA". It matches the Rfam family "Bacterial small subunit ribosomal RNA", at positions 28 to 523 of the family's 1533-position model. The record is from RNAcentral.